CUACUUAAACUGUUGAAAAAUGUGCCAGGUAAAGCUUUGCUUUUCUGUAACUGUAUUCUCCAGGGGAAAUUUUAGUGCUUUGCUUACAAAUGUGAUGGGUACAAAUGGGGUUUUUAAGUGGAUGGUGUCCAAUUCCUGUCCUUGUGGUUUAUAAAAAGCAUAAAGCAAAUUGAGACAAGUUGUAUGCUGAUAGUUGUUUUUUCUCAAAGAGGUUCUCGUAAACAUUUUACUAUUUACCAUUCUGAAUGUUUUGUUUUUAGAGUGCCUUGAAACAUGUUUUCAUACUUAAAUUGCAGGUCUAUAGCUUUUCAUGUUGUCUGUUUCACCAGAUAGUCUUCGAUCAGAAAUAUCUUGUCUUAUUAUUUCAUUAGCUAUCCUUUACACAGAGUCACCAGGAGAGGAGACUGUAUGUAGUCUGGAUGUGUGAUCUAAGUUUUAAUUCCAGUACAUCUGUGUAGCAGAAGUGAAGCAAUCCACAGAUCUGCAUAGAUGCAACGUGGCAAGAAAGCUUCUGGACAUUUCUUUUUAGAAAUCUCCAAAAGACUAACUUCAGCCAACAAUAAGCAUUUGGGAAUCUUGGGUCAACAUUUAACUCCAUUUUCUUCACCUGUUUUCCUGGAAGCCGAACAGAAAAGAAAAGCCAAAAUCUUUGGCAGGGCCCUAAUACCCAUGAAAAGACAAUUUCAAGUUUGUUAACUGUCAAAGAACACGUGAGAAGUUAGCAUUUUUGCUGUAAAAUCUUUGUAUCCAGCUUGUCAUCUAUGAUAAAAGGAGGUAGUAGGCAGAUGCAGUAUCUGUGGAGAAAAGGAAAGAGGUACACGGUAUUACAUGGAAGAAUAAAUAAACUUUAUUGAUGUAUGUAUAACUGAUUAUCUGCAACUGAUAUCGUAUUAACUAGCAUGUGUUCCACACCAAGUAUGUCACUGAACCAGCUUGUGCAAGUCUGAUUUUUUUUCUGAGGGAAAGAUGUUUAUACUUGCUUUCCCAUUCUGGUUUCCUUUAAACAGGCUGUUGACUCAAAUCUAGUUAGCUAGAUGGGCUAGUGGUUUUUGUUGUUUUUUUACAAGCAAGUAGCAUGUUGUCGAAGGUUGUUGUCACUAGUGACUGAAAUACAGAAUUUAAAACCAGGACUCUGGAGUGGAAAGCUGGGAUGUUGAACUCCUCUGACCAGAUAAGCAUCUGGCUGCCUGCUGUUGCCUCAGGUUUUAUGCUGCAAACCCCUCAUCUGCAUCAACUUAUUGGAGAGUGGUUCUAUGUUAACUGGAAAUAUAUAAUCAGCAAAGCCCUUUUCGUCUGAAAGAUAGGAGGAAUCAAGCUUCUUAGAGUCAGUUACUUGGGAUUGGAGCCACAGAAUGGCUGAGGCUAGAAGGGACCUCUGGAGGCCAUCUGGUCCAACCCCUCUGCUCCAGGAGGGCCACCCAGAGCAGGGUGCCUAGCACCACGUCCAGGUGGCUUUUGAAGAUCUCCAAGGAGGCGACCCCAGAACCUCUCUGGGCAGUGUGUGCCAGUGCUCAGUCACCCACACAGUAAUGAAGUGCUUCUUGAUGUUCAGAAGGAACCUUUUGUGUUCCAGUUUGUGCCCACUGUCUCUUGUCCUGGUACUGUGCACCACUGAGAAGAGCCUGGUUCCACCAUCUUUGCACCCUCCCUUCAGGUAUUUAUAGACACUGGUAAGUUUUCUGUUAAGUUGUGGGCAAAUCAGAAAUAACCAGUUUGUAAGAGAAAUCCUCUUGGAACAAUCUUAACAGACUAAUGGGGAAAGACUGAGUUUUACAUGAGUUUUACAUAUGAGUCUCUUCACUUACAUGUGUUGAUUUUACCAGGGUAUAAGUUCUUUGUUCUAGUGAGUGAAUUCUCGUUGGCUGGAAGUGAGACCGCAGUUCUGCUGACUGUGAAAGAGGUGAUUGCUUGAACUGCUUCUUGAAAGUGGGAGGGAGGGAGAAAUCAUAUUGGUACACUAGCAUCUAAUGUAGCAGUAGUACUGUUGUCUUCGUCUACUCUUUAAUGCAAGACCAUCUCUUACAUUUCUUAAUUGAGGGUACUCUUAUCUGCAGACAGUUAUAGGAAGUAAGAGUUUUUGCCUUCUGGUUAGCAGGUAAAUGGACUUUUUCACUUGAAAAGAGCAAUGGAAACAGAUUGCUACCAUUCAUUUUACUUGGGACUUCUACUUAAACUGAUGACAAAGAAAGAAAUCAGCAUUAAAAGAUGCCUUUUUUGGCCAUUAAUCUACACUUGUGCAAUAGGAACGUCGUCUGUGCGUGCUUUGGAUCAUCUUAAGCGUAGGAGCUGGGGGGCUUGUGUGGAUUAGGCCUUGGCAGAGGUAUAGAUUUUUGGCAGUGCCUUGAACCAGGACAUGGUGAUGCAUGCAAGUAGACUAAACAUAGGAGAGAAAUCUUAAAGCCAUUACCCUUACAAAAGGUAUGUUUGUCCUUGAGUUGGAAUGCUUUAAAUAAUGUGGUGUAGGGACAGAUAAGGUGUGGCAAGACCUGUUCCAGUUCUUUUUUCAUACAAGCAAUAGGUGAGCAUGUAAGGGAUGAGAUUCUGGGGUAAGUAGUCUUGAAAGAGCUGGAACCUAAAUAAAGUUUUAUAUUAUCUCUAGACUGGCUGGGUGACUCUGCUUAUUGCUCAGUUUUCUGUUUAAACAAACAAAAAAGCUUCAUGUAUUUAAACUGGGAGAUUAUCAAAAACAAAUCUAGAAUAUAGAUGAUAGCAGUUGACACUCGUUAUAAUGUUUAGCUCUUGGCAACCUUGUACGUUGUUAUAAUACAGAGUCACCCAAACAAAAGUACCCUGAUGAGGAAAUGGUGCAGCUGGUUGAGAAAUUGUGGAAGUGAUAGUGUUUUGAAAUGACUGGGGAGAAAAAAAACUAAUGCUUUUUGGGUAUAGUCUGGAAUGUCUUCUGUGUGUUAGAAUUGCAGGAGAUAAAAAGUGAGGAAAACAAGCAUGUUACCUAUUUCAAUUCUGCAUGUAAAAUUAGUUGUUUUAAGGUGUAAUUAAAUGGUCUAAAAUGGUAAUGGUCCUAAAGAUAACAUUGUUUGAAAUAUGUCGGGCUUAAACAUCGCACAGAGAUGUUGACUUAAAAUCCUACUUCCUCUUUGUUUUUCUGCUUGUGGUAACAUAUUUUUUUGUAGGCUUAAACUUUAUAAAAUGUAUGAUUUUGUGGCCAUGAUCAGCAAAUCUUGUGUACUGCUCAACUUCAUUGCUUCUUGUAUGAGAACCAGAACUAGGUAGCUGUGGGUGAAUGAAGAAGGGAAAAAAUAGGUGUUAUCCGCAGACUUCUCUUAAAAAGACUUCUUAAAAUGUAUGAAGUGUUUUUUCUUCAUCAUAAAGUCUUUAGCAUUUCCUUUUUGCAUUGUAGCUUAAUUUGUAAAGCGUGUAAAAAGUUUUAAACUUCGAGUGUAAGCUUUUGUAGCCUACAGGUUUUCAGAAAUGCCUUGCUUUCUUCUGUUAAAGGACAGAUUUUAUCCUCUUACUUUCUUAAAUAGUUUUUGUUUCAACCUGUAGACAGUAUUUCUCUUUUAUUGUUAUCCAUGCAAUUCAGUAGCUAAUCACCAAACUGAGAAUCGGUCUCUCCUUAUGAUUGUUUAUGAAUAUCUGAACUGUAUUAAAAAUGUCUCCAAACUGAUGCUAGUUUCCCAAACUAGUGUAUAGCUGGAAUAGCGAGGCAGCGAAGAGGUGAGAUAUUUAUUCCUUUUCAUACAAGAAGCAGGGGUGCAAAGGUGAAAUGGCUUUAUCCAAAUUGUUGUGGAAGCCCAAAACAGACUUGGCCACCAAACCCAGCUCUGCAGAGACCUGAGUCUAUGGCUGGAUUACGAGCCUCUGGUCAUGAGGUCAUGAGAAUUUAUACAGAGCUCGUCCCUGGGUUAAAAAAAAAAAAAAAAAAAGUGAGCUGAUAUAGUAAAGCAUUGUAGUUUUUUGCUAGUUUUUUGCUUCAUGGUGUUCUUUGUACUGAAUAUUCUUAACCUUGUGUCACUUAGACCACAACAUCCCAGUCUUGCUUUUACAGACCCUGUGGCUGAAGUUCCCUGAAAAUGCUUAUUAAGCAAUUGGUUUGCGUAAGUGGUAAUGUGCUCCUGAGGCUUUGUGACAGUAGAACUUAUCAACUAGUACCACGACUUCUAGUUUGUUCAAUUAAGCUCUUAUCUCACAUGUGCCUGGAGGGCUGCCAUCACACCAUAGUGCUUUUUAUCACGUGUAGACAGCUGCUUGGCUAAAACAGAUGAAACACCCUCUGCUGUAGGUCAGACCAUGUUGUGAGUAAGCUUGGUAGGGUCAAAAUGAAGUAAAACUCCUAGAUGUUCUCUAAGCAGUGUUGGAUGAGAGAAAGCGCAUGUUUUUGUUGUUUCUGUAGCUCAUUCAUUCUUAGCAUAGUAAUGGGAUAUCCAGUGCUGAAGGAGGUGGUCGCUGGGAUGCAUAGGAACUCUUGAUUUCCUGCUCUGUUGUCAUCUCUCUUGGUAGAUUUUCAUAAAGUGGGAAGCACGUAUCUCACACCUGUGGCCAGACUGCAAUCCAGACCUGCAGUACUCAGUUUUUCUAUGGAUUCGUUUAACCUCUUGCUCCUGGUUUUAGUAAUUUGUCUUUUGGCUUAGCACAUUGGGGAUCAGGUUAAUUUGCUCUUUUCCAUCAUGUGUGACUACAUUUUCUUGUGAGAGUGGGAACUGUGAAGUGAUCCUAAAACUUUAUAUCGCUUUUCUACCUUUGAAAGGUGGCUUACUCAUUAAAUGCCCCUUCUGUACCUCUGAAUGAUGCUUACUCUCCAGAGCACAGAACAGAGGUAUGGGGGAAAUUUUCAUCUGAAAGAUGUCAUGCAAACCUUCAGCAGCAGCUAUGAAGUGAGAUGUUGGGAACAUUAAACGCUGAUGAAUGGUGUGGGUUCCAUUCUGACGCCAGUCCUGCAUGGACUGGCUACCUGUGCAGUAUCACCAUCCUAUGUAUGAAGAAGUGAAUCAACUGGCUUACACGUUUAAUGCUUAAGAAGCAGUUUAGCUAUGGUAUAAAUGUGGUCUCCAGAAGUGAUUGUUCUCCUGUGUACAGUGACAAUGAUAUCUACCCACUAGAAAUGAAUUUCCAGGAAAGCAUGUGACUUACGUUGCUCACCUUACUUUCGCUAAUAGAGAGAAACUAAGAGCAUUCAUCAGAAGCAGCAAGUUUUGCAUUGAGUGAGGAGCCUUGUCUCAUAGCAGAUGUACUCAUUUGCAUGGAGUGAGCUAUUUUCAGAUGAUCAGCUCAGAAUGGGUUCAGCUAAUUCAGCUACUAAAUCUGCCAUUUCCCUCUGAGAAGUGUACAGAGAAUUGAAGUUAUCUAUCCCUGUGCAGACAGGGGAAGGAGAUGAGGAAUACGCAAAGAUUUUGGCAAGUUUAUUUAGGC
Long non-coding RNA from Cygnus atratus (black swan), 5367 nucleotides. RefSeq lists it as uncharacterized. The record is from RefSeq and is a predicted model, not a curated record. Lineage: Eukaryota; Metazoa; Chordata; Aves; Anseriformes; Anatidae. The transcript is spliced from 3 exons.